CCGUAGAGUUGGCUCUUUCUUCCUUCCUUUCUUUCUCUUCCUUCCUUUCUUUCUUUCUUUUUCUAUUUUCUUCUUUUCUCUUUCGAUUCGAAUACAACCAGCCCAAUUGCAUUUCUCUCUCUAUUUCUCCCGUAGAGUUGGUUGUCUUUUCCUUCCUUCCUUUCUUUCUUCUUCUAUUUUCUUCUUUUCUCUUCCGAUUCGAACACAACCAGCCGCAAGAAAGUCAUUUUCUUUGUGCUGUGCAUGUUGCAUUUUUCUGUUUUUAAUAUGAUUCUCUUCUCAUCUUCAUUCUAUUCUUUGGUCUGAUUUUUUGUGGUUUGAUUUUUGGGACAGACUACAGUAACAACGACAGUGCUGAAGGUCAGGAUGGUGUUGAAUAAUAAAGGUGUCAUUUUGAACUAUUUUCCCCCUUUUCUGGGGCUGUUAUUUG
Molecule: long non-coding RNA, 430 nt
Filed under: Glycine max (soybean)
Lineage: Eukaryota; Viridiplantae; Streptophyta; Magnoliopsida; Fabales; Fabaceae
Description: long non-coding RNA (GMAX_LNC004334)
Source: RNAcentral